This 393-nucleotide ribosomal RNA is filed under the name uncultured bacterium. Its description in RNAcentral is "partial 16S ribosomal RNA". It matches the Rfam family "Bacterial small subunit ribosomal RNA", at positions 523 to 918 of the family's 1533-position model. The record is from RNAcentral.
AUACGGAGGAUGCAAGCGUUAUCCGGAUUUAUUGGGUUUAAAGGGUGCGUAGGCGGUUUGCUAAGCGGGAGGUGAAAUGCCGGCGCUCAACGUCGGAAGUGCCUCCCGAACUGGUGGACUUGAAUGACUCUGCCGUGGGAGGAAUGUGUAGUGUAGCGGUGAAAUGCUUAGAGAUUACACAGAACACCGAUUGCGAAGGCAUCUCACGAAGGGUUGAUUGACGCGGAGGCACGAAAGCGUGGGGAUCAAACAGGAUUAGAUACCCUGGUAGUCCACGCAGUAAACGAUGAUGGCUAACCGCUGGGCUUAUCAGUUCAGUGGCCAAGCGAAAGCGAUAAGCCAUCCACCUGGGGAGUACGACCGCAAGGUUGAAACUCAAAUGAAUUGACGGGG